Molecule: ribosomal RNA, 409 nt
Filed under: Cryptosporidium parvum
Lineage: Eukaryota; Apicomplexa; Conoidasida; Eucoccidiorida; Cryptosporidiidae
Description: bacterial SSU rRNA
Rfam family: Eukaryotic small subunit ribosomal RNA
Source: RNAcentral
AAAAUAUUUUGAUGGAAUAUUUAUCUAAUAUUAACAUAAUUCAUAUUACUAUAUAUUUUAGUAUAUGAAAUUUUACUUUGAGAAAAUUAGAGCUGCUUAAAGCAGGCAUAUGCCUUGAAUACUCCAGCAUGGAAUAAUAUUAAAGAUUUUUAUCUUUCUUAUUGGUUCUAAGAUAAGAAUAAUGAUUAAUAGGGACAGUUGGGGGCAUUUGUAUUUAACAGUCAGAGGUGAAAUUCUUAGAUUUGUUAAAGACAAACUAAUGCGAAAGCAUUUGCCAAGGAUGUUUUCAUUACUCAAGAACGAAAGUUAGGGGAUCGAAGACGAUCAGAUACCGUCGGAGACUUAACCAUAAACUAUGCCUCAAAAUAUUUGAUGGAAAUUAUUAACAGAAUCCCACCCACGAGCUAAA